CUGAAUUUACGAACGGACAAUCUGACAUUUCUCUAAAUUUACGAACGCACAGAGCGCACUCUGGCACUCCAGAGCGAUUUUACGAACACACCCCAAGUUGAUCGCGUGGCAGCGGCAGGUUCAGCAGCUCACGUAUCCAUGACUACCCGGAUGGUGCAACUCGCUCAGCCCAAACCCAACCUGCUCCGAUUCCCUGACCGACGGUCAGUCUACUGGCUAGAUGAACUCCCACCUGAAAGAAAUGGCUCCACCACCUCGUUUG
Salvelinus sp. IW2-2015 is the source of this 262-nucleotide non-coding RNA. Lineage: Eukaryota; Metazoa; Chordata; Actinopteri; Salmoniformes; Salmonidae. The record is from RefSeq and is a predicted model, not a curated record.